RNAcentral lists this small RNA (299 nucleotides) under Arabidopsis thaliana (thale cress). RNAcentral describes it as "ATSL262310". The record is from RNAcentral. Lineage: Eukaryota; Viridiplantae; Streptophyta; Magnoliopsida; Brassicales; Brassicaceae.
AAAUCGUGUUCAUGUGUUAAAUCAGGACACAAUAGAGCAGGCAUUUCAUGUGGUGAUGGACCAGAAACUAUGAUGGUGUGAGUGGUAUCACGGACAAUCAAUGGCAUUCCAUCCAUCAUAUUCUUCAUCUUGGCAAGGAGUUCAUAACGGACAAAUUAGCGGGUAAGCCUAGUUUUUCCAAUUGGAUUAUGGAUACAUGAGCAUCUCAUCAUUUGAAAGAAAAAUUAGAUAUACUGACAAAUGUGAGAGAUAUGGCUCCAGUUUCGAUUAUCUUGGCUGAUGGUAGAGAAAUAGUAUUU